RNAcentral lists this ribosomal RNA (539 nucleotides) under uncultured bacterium. RNAcentral describes it as "bacterial SSU rRNA". It matches the Rfam family "Bacterial small subunit ribosomal RNA", at positions 777 to 1314 of the family's 1533-position model. The record is from RNAcentral.
AAUAGAUACCCGGGUAGUCCACGCCGUAAACGAUGAGUGCUAAGUGUUAGGGGGUUUCCGCCCCUUAGUGCUGCAGCUAACGCAUUAAGCACUCCGCCUGGGGAGUACGGCCGCAAGGCUGAAACUCAAAGGAAUUGACGGGGGGCCCGCACAAGCGGUGGAGCAUGUGGUUUAAUUCGAAGCAACGCGAAGAACCUUACCAGGUCUUGACAUCUCCUGACCGCCCUGGAGACAGGGUCUUCCCUUCGGGGACAGGAUGACAGGUGGUGCAUGGUUGUCGUCAGCUCGUGUCGUGAGAUGUUGGGUUAAGUCCCGCAACGAGCGCAACCCUUGUCCUUAGUUGCCAGCAUUCAGUUGGGCACGUCUAAGGAGACUGCCGGCUAAAAGUCGGAGGAAGGUGGGGAUGACGUCAAAUCAUCAUGCCCCUUAUGACCUGGGCUACACACGUGCUACAAUGGGCGGUACAGAGGGUCGCGAACCCGCAAGGGGGGAGCCAAUCCCAAAAACCGCUCUCAGUUCGGAUUGCAGGCUGCAACUCG